RNAcentral lists this ribosomal RNA (459 nucleotides) under uncultured Sphingobacteriales bacterium. RNAcentral's name for it is "bacterial SSU rRNA". It matches the Rfam family "Bacterial small subunit ribosomal RNA", at positions 925 to 1382 of the family's 1533-position model. The record is from RNAcentral. Lineage: Bacteria; Pseudomonadati; Bacteroidota; Sphingobacteriia; Sphingobacteriales.
ACAAGCGGUGGAGCAUGUGGUUUAAUUCGACGAUACGCGAAGAACCUUACCCGGGUUUGACAUUGUAUCGAAGCAUCCAGAGAUGGAUGUGUCUCUUCGGAGACGGUAUGACAGGUGCUGCAUGGUUGUCGUCAGCUCGUGCCGUGAGGUGUCGGGUUAAGUCCCAUAACGAGCGCAACCCCUACCUUUAGUUGCCAUCAGGUUAAGCUGGGGACUCUAAAGGAACUGCCUACGCAAGUAGUGAGGAAGGCGGGGAUGACGUCAAAUCAGCACGGCCCUUACGUCCAGGGCUACACACGUGCUACAAUGGCCGAUACAGAGGGCAGCUACCUGGUGACAGGAUGCAAAUCUCCAAAGUCGGUCUCAGUUCGGAUCGGAGUCUGCAACCCGACUCCGUGAAGUUGGAUUCGCUAGUAAUCGCGCAUCAGCCAUGGCGCGGUGAAUACGUUCCCGGGCCUU